RNAcentral lists this transfer RNA (75 nucleotides) under Candidatus Jorgensenbacteria bacterium RIFCSPLOWO2_12_FULL_42_11. Its description in RNAcentral is "tRNA-Arg". It matches the Rfam family "tRNA". Rfam says of the family: Transfer RNA (tRNA) molecules are approximately 80 nucleotides in length. The record is from RNAcentral. RNAcentral also lists the same sequence under 1 other name. Lineage: Bacteria; Candidatus Joergenseniibacteriota.
GCCCUUGUAGUGAAACGGAUAUCACGACUGCCUUCGAAGCAGUUAGUGGAGGUUCGAAUCCUCCCGAGGGCACCA